This 222-nucleotide long non-coding RNA is filed under the name Glycine max (soybean). RNAcentral's name for it is "long non-coding RNA (GMAX_LNC003239)". Lineage: Eukaryota; Viridiplantae; Streptophyta; Magnoliopsida; Fabales; Fabaceae. The record is from RNAcentral.
GAGUAGUCAUUGGAAAGCUAAGAAAAAGAUAUUCAAUUUGGUCAAUUCUACCAUUUUGAGGGUCAAAUUAGGCUUGGAAGUCAGAACCUCUGCACUUGAAUAAUUGGGCUAUGAGUUUAGGCUUUGUUUUGUGUAAUUAGUUUAAUUAGAUAGAUUAGAUGGGCCUAAUCAAGGCCCAUCCCUUCAUUAUGAAUAGUCACUCUAUAGAUUAGUGGAAAUUAG